UACGUAGGCAGCGAGCGUUGUUCGGAGUUACUGGGCGUAAAGAGUGUGUAGGUGGUUCUCUAAGUUUGGUGUGAAAUCUCCCGGCUCAACUGGGAGGGUGCGCCGAAAACUGGAGGGCUUGAGUGUGGUAGAGGAAGCUAGAAUUCCCGGUGUAGCGGUGAAAUGCGUAGAUAUCGGGAGGAAUACCUAUGGCGAAAGCAGGCUUCUGGACCAUCACUGACGCUGAUCUGCGAAAGCUAGGGGAGCAAACAGG
This 253-nucleotide ribosomal RNA is filed under the name uncultured prokaryote. RNAcentral's name for it is "partial 16S ribosomal RNA". It matches the Rfam family "Bacterial small subunit ribosomal RNA", at positions 524 to 776 of the family's 1533-position model. The record is from RNAcentral.